RNAcentral lists this microRNA precursor (75 nucleotides) under Nomascus leucogenys (northern white-cheeked gibbon). Its description in RNAcentral is "mir-591 microRNA precursor family". It matches the Rfam family "mir-591 microRNA precursor family". Lineage: Eukaryota; Metazoa; Chordata; Mammalia; Primates; Hylobatidae. The record is from Rfam by way of RNAcentral.
AUGAGGCAGACCAUGGGUUCUCAUUGUAAUAGUGUAGAAUGUUGGUUAACUGUGGACUCCCUAGCUUUGUCUCAA